CAGCAGCCGCGGUAACACGAAGGGUGCAAGCGUUAAUCGGAAUUACUGGGCGUAAAGCGUGCGUAGGCGGUUCGGAAAGAAAGAUGUGAAAUCCCAGGGCUCAACCUUGGAACUGCAUUUUUAACUACCGGACUAGAGUAUGUCAGAGGGAGGUGGAAUUCCACGUGUAGCAGUGAAAUGCGUAGAGAUGUGGAGGAACACCGAUGGCGAAGGCAGCCCCCUGGGCCAAUACUGACGCUCAUGCACGAAAGCGUGGGGAGCAAACAGGAUUAGAUACCCCAGUAGUCCCUGUCUCUUAUAC
RNAcentral lists this ribosomal RNA (301 nucleotides) under uncultured bacterium. RNAcentral's name for it is "partial 16S ribosomal RNA". It matches the Rfam family "Bacterial small subunit ribosomal RNA", at positions 509 to 807 of the family's 1533-position model. The record is from RNAcentral.